UCUGCUUUGGGAUCCCAUAUGAUCAGCAUGUACUACAGAAGAGUUUCUUGUGUCAUCUUGAAUGUGGAAACAGAAAUGGAUGGGAGUGUUCAGGGCAGGUUAGAAGCUGCUAAGACAAACACGAGAUCUUCUGAGCGAGCCAGCCCAUCCAUCUGCACCAGUAGCUCUGUCUUCAUCCUGAGGCUUCCUUCGUGCUCUCCCCUAGAGAGGGACAAGGAGGCAGGAUAAUGACGUGGGAACUACGCUUCCCAGGCACAGCAGAUGGGAGGCAGUUUCCUGUGCACAUUCGUCCUCCAAGCCCUCCACCACCGCUGCCAAAGACCCUCCCACCAAGAAAGAGCUCACUACAGAACCUGAACAAUUUAUACUGGCUCUAAAUACCACAUCUUGCAGGAUUCACUUGUAUAGAUGGAGGAAAAAGGACAAAAAAAGAAAAGAAAGAAAGAAAGAAAAAGCCCCUCUUAGACAACACAACAUGCAACUAUAUAUCGUGGCAACCCAAACCAGGUCUGCGUUUUUAGGAGCUAUGCCCCUUACUAUCCAUCUCUUUUCCUAAGAGAGCCGCCUCACAGUAUAGUUAUAUACUUAUUUAGCAUUUGCCCCUAAUUAUUAUUCUUUUAACGUAAUAUGACCCAAGAAGUCUUCCAAGCACCUGCCCCAAUUCCCUGACCAAUUCCCUGAAAAUCCUAGUUUUAGAAUUUAAGUUCCAGACAGGAAAACUGACACUCGGUGCAAAACCUAGCGCCCACUCAAGGACAGCGGGGGAAGUUUCCAGAUCAGCUCAAUCAAAGCUGUGGGGAGUCCAGGAAUGGAGAUCGACAAAGGGAACGUAAGAGCGAGUGCACAGGUCACGAGGGGCUGGCGGGUGGGGCGCCCAGGGCUUUGCCGAGGGAGUGGCCACCAGAGGGGCCUGCGCAGCUCCCUGCUCCAGGCAGGCCCCAUAUCGAGGGGCCGAGGGCCCCAGUCUGGGGCUGACAGCACCCAUUAAGCCAUGGGAUCUUCCUGUUUCAAUCAAUGGCAGGAAUCCCAUGCACCUUAAUGGCUGGUUUUUUCCCCACUGGGAAAAUGGUUUUC
Hipposideros armiger (great roundleaf bat) is the source of this 1074-nucleotide long non-coding RNA. RefSeq lists it as uncharacterized. The transcript is spliced from 3 exons. The record is from RefSeq and is a predicted model, not a curated record. NCBI's taxonomy places the organism in Eukaryota, Metazoa, Chordata, Mammalia, Chiroptera, Hipposideridae.